Molecule: ribosomal RNA, 2312 nt
Filed under: termite gut metagenome
Description: bacterial LSU rRNA
Rfam family: Bacterial large subunit ribosomal RNA
Source: RNAcentral
AGAGCACACGGGGGAUGCCUAGGCUCUCAGAGGCGAAGAAGGACGUGAUAAGCUGCGAUAAGCUUCGAUAAGGUGCAAAUAACCGUUAAGUCGAAGAUUUCCGAAUAGGACAACCUGUAUAUCCUUUUAUAAGGAAGCCAACCCGCUGAACUGAAACAUCUAAGUAGGCGGAGGAAAAGAAAGAGAAAUCGAUUCCCUAAGUAGCGGCGAGCGAACCGGGAACAGCCCAAACCGGUUAUGUUUAGGCAUAGCCGGGGUUGUAGGACUGCGAUAUUUGGUAUAUAAUUGAAAUAGAAGUUGCAUGGAAAGGCACACAGUAUAAGAUGACAGUUCUGUAUAUGUAAGAUUAUAUAUUGAUAGCAGUAUCCUGAGUAGGGCGGGGCACGAGAACCCCUGUCUGAAUUAGCCCGGACCACCGGGUAAGGCUAAAUACUCCUGAGAGACCGAUAGUGAACCAGUACCGUGAGGGAAAGGUGAAAAGAACCCCGAACAGGGGAGUGAAAAAGAACCUGAAACCGUGUGCUUACAAGCGGUCGGAGCCCUAAUGGGGUGACGGCGUGCCUUUUGCAUAAUGAGCCUACGAGUUGCUCCUAUAUGGCAAGGUUAAAUACUUAAGGUAUGGAGCCGAAGCGAAAGCGAGUCUUAACAGGGCGAAAAGAGUCAUAUGGGGCAGACGCGAAACCUUGUGAUCUACCCUUGGGCAGGUUGAAGUUUCGGUAACACGAAAUGGAGGACCGAACCGAUAAACGUUGAAAAGUUUCCGGAUGACCUGAGGGUAGGGGUGAAAGGCCAAUCAAACUGGGAGAUAGCUCGUACUCCCCGAAAUGCAUUUAGGUGCAGCCUUGUAAUGAGUAUAUUGGAGGUAGAGCUACCGAUUAGACUAGGGGGAUUCAACUCCUACCGAAUCUUGACGAACUCCGAAUGCCAGUAUAUGCUUUACAGGAGUGAGGCGAUGGGUGCUAAGGUCCGUUGCCGAGAGGGGAACAACCCAGACUGCCGGCUAAAGGUCCCAAAACAUAUGCUAAGUUGACCAAACGAGGUGAGGUUGCACAGACAGCUAGGAUGUUGGCUUGGAAGCAGCCAUUCAUUUAAAGAGUGCGUAACAGCUCACUAGUCGAGCGACCUUGCGUGGAUAAUACGCGGGCAUAAAGCAUAUUACCGAAGCUGCAGAUUGUGUAUGAAUUUAUACAAUGGUAGGGGAGCAUUCUAACAGCGGAGAAGUGCGAGUGAUUGUGGAGCGGUUAGAAACGCAAAUGUAGGCAUGAGUAACGAUAAUGGAGGCGGGAAACCUCCACGCCGAAAAGCUAAGGAUUCCGGGGCUAUGCUAAUCAGCUCCGGGUUAGUCGGGACCUAAGGAGACCCCGAACGGGUUAUUCGAUGGACAGAAGGUUAAUAUUCCUUCACCUUGUAUACACUAAAAGUGACGGAUUGACGAGGCUGUUACGUGCUGACGGAAAUGCACGUAGAGCUUAGCCUUCGGGCGAAGCGAAACAGAUACAUCGGUUCCAAGAAAAGCGAGUAUACAAGCCCGUACCGUAAACCGACACAGGUAGCUGGGAAGAGAAUUCUAAGGCGCUCGGAAGAUUCACGGUUAAGGAACUAGGCAAAAUAACCCCGUAACUUCGGGAUAAGGGGAACCUCAGCAAUGAGGUCGCAGAGAAAUGAUCCAAGCGACUGUUUAGCAAAAACACAGGGCUAUGCCAACUCGCAAGAUGACGUAUAUGGCCUGACACCUGCCCGGUGCCGGAAGGUUAAAUGGGGAUGUAAUCGCAAGAGAAGCAUUGAAAUGAAGCCCCGGUAAACGGCGGCCGUAACUAUAACGGUCCUAAGGUAGCGAAAUUCCUUGUCGGGUAAGUUCCGACCUGCACGAAUGGUGUAACGAUUUGGAUACUGUCUCGACCGUGAUUCCGGUGAAAUUGUAGUAUCGGUGAAGAUGCCGAUUACCCGCGAUGGGACGGAAAGACCCCGUGAACCUUUACUAUAGCUUAACAUUGUUUUUGGGCACAAGAUGUGUAGGAUAGGUCGGAGACUUUGAUACGGCGUCGCCAGGCGUCGGGUAGUCACCCUUGAAAUACGACCCUUUUUGUGUCUGGAAUCUAACCUGUGAGAGCGGGGACAUUGUUUGGUGGGUAGUUUGACUGGGGUGGUCGCCUCCAAAAGAGUAACGGAGGCUUCCCAAGGUUCCCUCAGCACGCUUGGUAACCGUGCGCAGAGUGUAAUGGCACAAGGGAGCUUGACUGCGAGACCUACAAGUCGAGCAGGGACGAAAGUCGGGCAUAGUGAUCCGGUGAUUCCGUGUGGAAGGGUCAUCG